This 500-nucleotide ribosomal RNA is filed under the name uncultured bacterium. RNAcentral's name for it is "partial 16S ribosomal RNA". It matches the Rfam family "Bacterial small subunit ribosomal RNA", at positions 29 to 523 of the family's 1533-position model. The record is from RNAcentral.
AUUGAACGCUGGCGGCAUGCCUUACACAUGCAAGUCGAACGGCAGCACGGGGGCAACCCUGGUGGCGAGUGGCGAACGGGUGAGUAAUACAUCGGAACGUGCCCUGUCGUGGGGGAUAACCAGUCGAAAGACUGGCUAAUACCGCAUGAGAACGAGAGAUGAAAGCAGGGGACCGCAAGGCCUUGCGCGAUUGGAGCGGCCGAUGGCGGAUUAGCUAGUUGGCGGGGUAAAAGCCCACCAAGGCGACGAUCCGUAGCUGGUUUGAGAGAACGACCAGCCAGACUGGGACUGAGACACGGCCCAGACUCCUACGGGAGGCAGCGGUGGGGAAUUUUGGACAAUGGGGGCAACCCUGAUCCAGCCAUGCCGCGUGUGUGAAGAAGGCCUUCGGGUUGUAAAGCACUUUCGGACGGAACGAAAUCGCACGGGUGAAUAUCCCGGGUGGAUGACGGUACUGUAAGAAGAAGCACCGGCUAACUACGUGCCAGCCGCCGCGGUAA